Lolium rigidum is the source of this 1440-nucleotide long non-coding RNA. RefSeq lists it as uncharacterized. The transcript is spliced from 3 exons. The record is from RefSeq and is a predicted model, not a curated record. Lineage: Eukaryota; Viridiplantae; Streptophyta; Magnoliopsida; Poales; Poaceae.
GGGAAAAUUAUCAAGUUGUUGACCAGUAGUGACCUUGACUACUUUACACUAGAUGAGACCAUUCUUUUCACAGCUAUCUACUACAAAAAUUCAGGGUGGGCCACGGCCCACCCGACCGCCCUGCUGCGUACACCCCUGACAUCAACUAAUUUGCGAAGCUUUGAGCUCCUGAAAUUUCUUGUCACAGGAAUCAGCAGUGCAAUGCAAUGGUACACAAGAAAGUUGGUGCCUCGUGUUCUGGACAAAUGCGCCAUAUAUCCCUACUCAUUGCCAUGGUGCUUGAGAAGUGCUGCUGUGAGCUCCUGCGCAACACCUCCCUACUGUCCCUCAUCCCUAGAAGGCUGGAAUACUAGGUGUCUACUCAUCUGCCUUGCACUGAUUUAUUCAUGUAAUCUAUCUUGCUGAUUCCACUUUCAUAUAAUUGUGUCUUGAUUUUAAUGAAGAUAUCCCUGAUACUAAGGAAUGGCUUCAAAAGGGCUUUCCUUAUGGAUCUGCCAUUGAAGGGUUGGCUUAAUUUUCCCACUUUACUGACUUAGACUUAUAACCGAAAAUUUGGUUCUGCUCUUUGUCUUAGGCUGCAAGAUAAAUUCAUCUUGUUAAGUGGAUUUUUCUUCCAACACCGAAGUGCUACUGAGAUCAAUCUAGAGAUUUAUCAUUAGGAAAACCGGUUACUGUAUUGACUAAUAUGGGCAUUUAGAAAUAUGUGGUGAUUAAUUUCCCAUUCAGAUGUUAUACUGUAUACAUCAUAUGCAAGCAUAUACAUGAGCGAGCUUAACAUUUUCAAUCUGAAUUUGGUGCCAAAAGUCAAAUAGGUAACCUCUUCGUAAAAAUCCUGCUCUCGUGCUUUUCGGAUACCCAUUGCUAUUUCUUCGAUAGUAGUAUUCAAUCUCUGGUGGCCAAGCUGGAAUUAAAACAAUCAUGAAGUUUUUCAAAAUAUAUGUACCUGAUGCUUAGUUCGUUGCACAUUAAUCACGUGUAAAUGCAUGGAUGUUUGGUUGCAUUUUCCCUUAAUCUAUUGACCAAAAAAGUAGAAGUUUCCCUGUUUAGUUUUUCAUCCAGUAUACCACUGUAUCAAGAUCCUUUGCAAGAUAAAGAAUCCGUUGGAAAAAUUGUAUUCAUGUAGAUGCCUGCUAGCUGCAUAUUUCUCAUAUCCUGUUUUGGCGUUUGGCUCUGACAUAUGUUGGCUGUUGGACUUUAUAUUGAUAUAUUCAGAUUUAGACAUUGAUAAAUUUGCAUCAGUGCUUGUUUUAGGAAGAUUCUGUUAUGAUAAUUCUUGAGCCCGCUUCGUUGCAAAUAGAUUAAAGUCUCCUUUGAAUUGGGCAAAAAUUGAAGUCCUCUUUAAAUUGAAUAAUAUGUAAAUUACUAUUGAUUUAUUGUACAGUCUAUUGAUCAAUUUCAUAGGCAUGCUAAGGUAGCAACUAAACACCAGUUUUGUUCCAA